Molecule: ribosomal RNA, 252 nt
Filed under: uncultured bacterium
Lineage: Bacteria
Description: partial 16S ribosomal RNA
Rfam family: Bacterial small subunit ribosomal RNA
Source: RNAcentral
GACAGAGGCCUCAAGCGUUAGGCGGAAUCACUGGGCUUAAAGCGUGUGUAGGCGGAUCGUUAAGUGUCUUGUGAAAUCCCACGGCUCACCCGUGGAACUGCUGGGCAUACUGCCGAUCUUGGGCCAACUAGGGGCAACUGGAACAAGCGGUGGAGCGGUGAAAUGCGUAGAUAUCUGGAGGAACACCGGUGGCGAAGGCGGCAUCCUGGACCGGCAUUGACGCUGAGGCGCGAAAGCCAGGGAGCAAACGGG